CCUACGGGAGGCAGCAGUGAGGAAUAUUAGGUCAAUGUGACGAGAGUCUGAACCAGCCAAGUAGCGUGCAGGAUGACUGCCCUAUGGGUUGUAGAACUGCUUUUAUCAGGGAAUAAAGUGAGGCACGUGUGCCUUUUUGUAUGUACCUAGAUGGACUAAUCACCGGGUAAUUCGCGUGCCAGCAGCCGCGGUAAU
RNAcentral lists this ribosomal RNA (195 nucleotides) under uncultured bacterium. Its description in RNAcentral is "partial 16S ribosomal RNA". It matches the Rfam family "Bacterial small subunit ribosomal RNA", at positions 338 to 524 of the family's 1533-position model. The record is from RNAcentral.